This 464-nucleotide ribosomal RNA is filed under the name uncultured bacterium. Its description in RNAcentral is "partial 16S ribosomal RNA". It matches the Rfam family "Bacterial small subunit ribosomal RNA", at positions 339 to 795 of the family's 1533-position model. The record is from RNAcentral.
CUACGGGCGGCUGCAGUAGGGAAUUUUCGGCAAUGGGCGCAAGCCUGACCGAGCAACGCCGCGUGAGUGAUUAAGGCCUUCGGGUUGUAAAGCUCUGUUGUAAAGGAAGAACGAUUAGGAUAGGAAAUGAUCCUAAUGUGACGGUACUUUACCAGAAAGCCACGGCUAACUACGUGCCAGCAGCCGCGGUAAUACGUAGGGUGGCAAGCGUUAUCCGGAAUUAUUGGGCGUAAAGGGUGCGUAGGCGGUUUAUUAAGUCUGUGUUGAAAGUUCGGGGCUCAACCCCGUAUGGGCACAGAAACUGAUAGACUCGAGUGCAGGAGAGGGCAGUGGAAUUCCAUGUGUAGCGGUAAAAUGCGUAGAUAUAUGGAGGAACACCGGUGGCGAAGGCGGCUGCCUGGCCUGUUACUGACGCUGAGGCACGAAAGCGUGGGGAGCAAAUAGGAUUAGAUACCCCUGUAGUC